UCGUUACUCUACUUUGUCACAGAUUUGUUUGCUCAGAUGCUGUCUCCUUUCAAUAAUAGUUCACCAUUGGUAAACAUAGCUUGGUGUUGUUCCAUGAUAUGACAAUAGCUUCAUUGAGAGCUGAGAUUUCUCUGCUCUCCAACAAAGAAACAAUUUUUAAGAUGGAUAAAGUUCUAUAAACAAUGAAACUCUCAAAGAUUCCCCAUCUGCUAACUAAGAUGAAACUUAACAUAUCACAGUGAAAGAAACAUCAAAUUCUCACAUUCCUUCACCAUGUAAUUAAAUUGCCUUAUCAACUCACAAGGUUUUAUCUAUCUCCAAUAUCUCAAGAAACGGUGCUUUAGACGCCAAUAAGAGAGGGUGGCAAUAUCCAAGUUUUGUAUGUUAAAAAAUAUGUGCCUUAUCUGAGUCUUUUGCAUGUAUUAGAACAAAUCUUAAUAGCAAAAAGGGUGAUGGAAUACACAGCCUCAGAAGCAAUAAAGAGAGGGCUGCACAGAAUUGUUGUUUAAAUUCUUUCAGGGGGAGUUAUUUAAGGUUUUGGGGCUCGCGAUACUUAUCUAUUGCAUUGAUUACUAAGACAUAAAGAGGCAUUUAAACAGAGAUUAAAUACCUGGGUAUGAUGGAUGGCAAGAGAGUUGGCUCAAAUGUAGGAGAUGUUGAAGUUUCAGUUAGGAAUAAGAAGGGACCUGCAGGUUGCAGUAAAAGCAAUUAGUAACCACAAAUUAGUGCAGUAAAACCUGCUUUUCCACAAUAUCUCAAUGCAUUUAGAUACUUGAUGUUUGAAGUCAGCCAGAGGGCGUUCUCUUUGUCCUACACAUUUGGACUUUUUUUUUGUUUCCAAGCCUUCCACAAGUUAAGAAUAGAAGAAACUAAUAAUAAUAAAGUUUAAAUUGAAAGAGCUUCUCAAGAAAAGGACAGCAGUGGAAUUUUUUUCUCCAAGAAACUCUAAAGGCUAUGGUUCAUACUUGUGAAAAUAAUUGCUUUACAUGUAAACAAGUAUGUUAGCAGGUACAGUUAAUGAACGGGAAACUACAGAUAUUAUGUUAUUUUAAUUACACAAAUAUUUGGAGGACAAACACAUUUAUGCCAUGUAAGUGGUUGUUAGCAAAGGAAAGAAUCUGAACAGGAACUUCUCAAUAUAUAUUGAGAAACCUAGAAUGAAAGCUGAAGCAAACACCAAUCAAGCACCUUACUGAUUCUUCCACAUGAAAUAGCCAUAUCAGAACAGCAAUUAUUCUUUGACGAAGUCGCUUAAUAUACAUAACAUGACAUCAUGACCUUACACCACUUAAAUGUUGAUUAAAUCCUAGGAGAGAAAUUAAAAAUUAUU
This 1330-nucleotide long non-coding RNA is filed under the name Musa acuminata (dwarf banana). RNAcentral's name for it is "long non-coding RNA (MACU_LNC002870)". The record is from RNAcentral. Lineage: Eukaryota; Viridiplantae; Streptophyta; Magnoliopsida; Zingiberales; Musaceae.